This is a long non-coding RNA of Arabidopsis thaliana (thale cress), 481 nucleotides long. RefSeq annotates it as other RNA. The transcript has a single exon. Lineage: Eukaryota; Viridiplantae; Streptophyta; Magnoliopsida; Brassicales; Brassicaceae. The record is from RefSeq.
GAUCUUUAUUGUAAGUAUUUAUAGGUUAAAGUUAAACAUGUUAGAAUACCAUUGAAUAAUGAGUAUAUGCAUUAACUAACAUUUGACUUGAAAACAAAGAAGAAACUAACUAUGAUCUACAGAACCAUGUCGGAGAGAUAGAGAAAAUGACAUAUAUAACCUCCAUUCACUCUUUCUCUUUUUUGUUUAUCUUUCUCUCACCACCAUUAUUAAACCUCAAACUUGAUCUUUCCACCAUGGCACCAUCAUCAUCAACACCACCCUCAACUCCACCGCCACUACAAUCCUUGUUUCCUCUGACAUUGCAAUAGAGCUCUAAAGAAAAAUUCACUAAUCUUUUUAGUCAUUUAGAAUUUUCAAUUUUCUUCCACCUCCAUUGAUUUCAAGAGCCACAUGUCUCUUUCUACUCUUGCAUAUCUCUUUCACUUCCAUAUUCUUUUAUUUCUCUCUGAUUUUGAUAUUCUUCGUAACCCAUCUUCAU